This 73-nucleotide transfer RNA is filed under the name Camelus bactrianus (Bactrian camel). It matches the Rfam family "tRNA". Rfam says of the family: Transfer RNA (tRNA) molecules are approximately 80 nucleotides in length. Their secondary structure includes four short double-helical elements and three loops (D, anti-codon, and T loops). The record is from Rfam by way of RNAcentral. Lineage: Eukaryota; Metazoa; Chordata; Mammalia; Artiodactyla; Camelidae. RNAcentral also lists the same sequence under 3 other names.
GAGGGUGUAGCUCAAAUGGUAGAGCACAUGCUUAGCAUACACGAGGUCCUGGGUUCAAUCCUCAGUACCUCCC